UACGUAGGUGGCAAGCGUUGUCCGGAUUUACUGGGCGUAAAGCGAGCGCAGGCGGACCGUUAAGUAGGAAGUGAAAGGUCGGAGCUCAACUCCAACAUUGCUUUCUAUACUGGCGGUCUUGAGUCUCGGAGGGGAAAGCGGUACGACACGUGUAGCGGUGAAAUGCGUUGAUAUGUGUCGGAACACCAAUGGCGAAGGCAGCUUUCUGGACGAUGACUGACGCUCAGGCUCGAAAGCCAAGGUAGCGAACAGG
Molecule: ribosomal RNA, 253 nt
Filed under: uncultured bacterium
Lineage: Bacteria
Description: partial 16S ribosomal RNA
Rfam family: Bacterial small subunit ribosomal RNA
Source: RNAcentral